Molecule: ribosomal RNA, 487 nt
Filed under: Limacella glischra
Lineage: Eukaryota; Fungi; Basidiomycota; Agaricomycetes; Agaricales; Amanitaceae
Description: partial 12S small ribosomal RNA subunit
Rfam family: Bacterial small subunit ribosomal RNA
Source: RNAcentral
ACUGAAAUCACAAGACACUAAAAAUAGUAAUUGUGAUAAGGUAUGGGAAAAUUAUGAUAUUACCAUACUAUAAGUGUUGUCUAAAUUUUGGUGCCAGAAGACUCGGUAAGGCCAGAAACGCAAACGUUAAUCAUCUUAAUCAGGCGUAAAGGGUUUGUAGGCUGUUUUAAUAAUUUAUAUUUAAAAAUAGCUUUAAAUAAACAAAAAUUUAUUUAAUUUAAAUAUAAUAAAAAUAAAACUAGAAUCAAAUAGAGGAUAAGCCAUAUAAUACUUAGAGUAGGGAUAAAAUCCGUAGAUACUAAGGGGAAUACUAAUGGUGAAAACAUUUAUCUAUUAAUGAUUGACGCUGAGACACGAAGGUGAGAAUAGGAAAUUGGAUUAGAUACCCAGAUACCUCUCACUGUCAACGAUGAAUGGUGGUUGUUAGUUUUAAUAAAAAUUGAUAGCGAUGUUAACACGUUAACCAUUCCGCCUUGCGAGUACGGUU